AACGCUAGCUACAGGCUUAACACAUGCAAGUCGAGGGGAAACGAUAUUGGAAGCUUGCUUCCGAUAGGCGUCGACCGGCGCACGGGUGAGUAACGCGUAUCCAACCUGCCCAUCACUUGGGAAUAACCUUGCGAAAGUAAGACUAAUGCCCAAUGAUAUUUAUAGAAGGCAUCGGAAAUGAAUUAAAGAUUUAUCGGUGAUGGAUGGGGAUGCGUCUGAUUAGCUUGUUGGCGGGGUAACGGCCCACCAAGGCGACGAUCAGUAGGGGUUCUGAGAGGAAGGUCCCCCACAUUGGAACUGAGACACGGUCCAAACUCCUACGGGAGGCAGCAGUGAGGAAUAUUGGUCAAUGGGCGAGAGCCUGAACCAGCCAAGUAGCGUGCAGGAUGACGGCCCUAUGGGUUGUAAACUGCUUUUAUAGGGGAAUAAAGUGAGCCACGUGUGGUUUUUUGCAUGUACCCUAUGAAUAAGGACCGGCUAAUUCCGUGCCAGCAGCCGCGGUAAUACGGAAGGUCCGGGCGUUAUCCGGAUUUAUUGGGUUUAAAGGGAGCGUAGGCCGGAGAUUAAGCGUGUUGUGAAAUGUAGAUGCUCAACAUCUGAACUGCAGCGCGAACUGGUUUCCUUGAGUACGCAUAAAGUGGGCGGAAUUCGUGGUGUAGCGGUGAAAUGCUUAGAUAUCACGAAGAACUCCGAUUG
RNAcentral lists this ribosomal RNA (696 nucleotides) under uncultured bacterium. RNAcentral describes it as "bacterial SSU rRNA". It matches the Rfam family "Bacterial small subunit ribosomal RNA", at positions 32 to 715 of the family's 1533-position model. The record is from RNAcentral.